RNAcentral lists this ribosomal RNA (154 nucleotides) under Staphylococcus pseudintermedius. RNAcentral's name for it is "partial 16S ribosomal RNA". It matches the Rfam family "Bacterial small subunit ribosomal RNA", at positions 1 to 149 of the family's 1533-position model. Lineage: Bacteria; Bacillati; Bacillota; Bacilli; Caryophanales; Staphylococcaceae. The record is from RNAcentral.
UUUAUGGAGAGUUUGAUCCUGGCUCAGGAUGAACGCUGGCGGCGUGCCUAAUACAUGCAAGUCGAGCGAACAGAUAAGGAGCUUGCUCCUUUGACGUUAGCGGCGGACGGGUGAGUAACACGUGGGUAACCUACCUAUAAGACUGGAAUAACUC